RNAcentral lists this ribosomal RNA (448 nucleotides) under uncultured Leptolinea sp. RNAcentral describes it as "bacterial SSU rRNA". It matches the Rfam family "Bacterial small subunit ribosomal RNA", at positions 920 to 1382 of the family's 1533-position model. Lineage: Bacteria; Bacillati; Chloroflexota; Anaerolineae; Anaerolineales; Anaerolineaceae. The record is from RNAcentral.
CCCGCACAAGCAGCGGAGCGUGUGGUUUAAUUCGAUGUUACACGAAGAACUUACCAGGGUUUGACAUGCAAGUGGUAGGAAGCCGAAAGGUGACCGACCCUUCGGGGAGCUUGCACAGGUGCUGCAUGGCUGUCGUCAGCUCGUGUCGUGAGAUGUUCGGUUAAGUCCGCUAACGAGCGCAACCCUCGCUGUGUGUUAUAUGUGUCACACGGGACUGCCGGUCUUAAGCCGGAGGAAAGUGGGGAUGAUGUCAAGUCAGCAUGGCCUUUAUAUCCUGGGCUACACACACGCUACAAUGGCCAACACAAUAGGUUGCUAAGCCGCGAGGUGGCGCCAAUCCAUAAAGUUGGUCUCAGUUCAGAUUGUAGGCUGCAACCCGCCUGCAUGAAGAUGGAGUUGCUAGUAACCGCAGGUCAGCUAUACUGCGGUGAAUACGUUCCCGGGGCUU